AUGACCCCACGCGAAGGGUCUUGGGGGCACACGCAGCUCUCGGCUGGCAGGGCAGGACCCACCGGCGUCGGUGAUCUUCGUGCAGACCUCGGUCAGCCGGUCGCCGGGACUCUUGUCGGGUGUGUUCAGGAAGUGGGGCCGCAGGAGGGACUUGAGCGUGGAGCUGACGGCCACGAGGAAGAGCUUGGCGUGGUAGUCACACACACGGGCCACCGUGCAGGGCGACAGCUUGCACAGCGAGGCCUUCAUGGCCAGGAUCCGGGUGGACAGGACCUGGGUGGGGGCGGCUGGUGGGAGGGGCGGGCCGCCGGCAGGCAGGNNNNNNNNNNNNNNNNNNNNNNCCAGAGCAGGGCGGAGAGGGGACUGCACAGGGCGAGCCGGUCCCCCCUUCCCCGCAGUGCUGAUCUCUCGCAGGAAAGGCUGAGGCUCAGAGCUCACUGGGAGGAAGGGGCCGGCGGGCCGGGGUACCUGCUGCAGGGCGGCGUUCUGGCGCGUGUACUCCUCGUGCAGCUUCUCCACCAGGCUCUGCACCAUGCCGGGCUGCACGUGCAACAGCGUGUCCCACCAGUCGUAGCCCGUCACCAUGCAGUACUCCAGCAGGAAGAGCAAGUGCCGCAGGGCCAGGCUUACGUCCAGCGUGUGGCCCAUGGAUGGCGAGAUACGCAGCAUGCUGAGCUGCGGGGGGUGGGGGUGAGGGCCUGGCCGGCAGGCGCCCUCAAACACGGAGGGGCGUGCCAGGGGCACCUGGGUCCGGCCCCACACCUAGUGACCCCAGCGCCCAGUGUCCCUCCCUGGGCCUCGCAAAUCCACUCUCGGGCCGUGGGGUCUCUGCAAAGACGCAGCCCCGGCUCUCCAGAAGCAGAACCCCUCCCGCAAGGAGAGGCCUGCUGGCCAGCCUGCCGCAUGGACAGGCCGAGGACGGGGCCAACGGGAAGCGGAUUCAGGCCGGAGUCACGAAGAAAAGCGACUCGCAGAAGCUGGUUUAUUCGGGGGUCUGCACGGGAGGCGGGGCUGAGGGUGAGCGUGCACAGCGUGCCCAUCGGCCAGGCCGGGGUCCCCCGGAAGCAAGGAUGUUCACUGAGCACCUACUACGUGCCCCAGACCACACCAGAGCUUUUCUCCGUGAUCUCGGGGAGCCAGAGGAACCCCAGCUCCCAGGUGAGGGAUCUCGGGCCGUUGAGCAGCAGGGACGGCAGUGGGGGUCCCGGGGCCCGCCCCUCCCUCUCUUCCCUGCUGCGCAGGCGGCUUCAAAGCUCACCUUCCCAUGGUUGUCGAUGCCGACCAGGGCCAGCGAGGUCCAGGACAGCUGCAUGGCCUUGA
This 1320-nucleotide long non-coding RNA is filed under the name Ursus maritimus (polar bear). RNAcentral's name for it is "lncRNA (ENSUMAG00000005455.1)". The record is from RNAcentral. Lineage: Eukaryota; Metazoa; Chordata; Mammalia; Carnivora; Ursidae.